AUUGAACGCUGGCGGAAUGCUUUACACAUGCAAGUCGAACGGCAGCACGGGGCAACCUGGUGGCGAGUGGCGAACGGGUGAGUAAUACAUCGGAACGUGCCCAAUCGUGGGGGAUAACGUAGCGAAAGUUACGCUAAUACCGCAUACGAUCUACGGAUGAAAGCGGGGGAUCGCAAGACCUCGCGCGAAUGGAGCGGCCGAUGUCAGAUUAGGUAGUUGGUGGGGUAAAGGCUCACCAAGCCAACGAUCUGUAGCUGGUCUGAGAGGACGACCAGCCACACUGGAACUGAGACACGGUCCAGACUCCUACGGGAGGCGGCAGUGGGGAAUUUUGGACAAUGGGCGCAAGCCUGAUCCAGCCAUUCCGCGUGCAGGAUGAAGGCCUUCGGGUUGUAAACUGCUUUGUACGGAACGAAACGGCGAGCUCUAAUACAGUUUGCUAAUGACGGUACCGUAAGAAUAAGCACCGGCUAACUAACGUGCCAGCAGCCGCGGUAAU
This 499-nucleotide ribosomal RNA is filed under the name uncultured bacterium. Its description in RNAcentral is "bacterial SSU rRNA". It matches the Rfam family "Bacterial small subunit ribosomal RNA", at positions 30 to 524 of the family's 1533-position model. The record is from RNAcentral.